AUAUCUCAAUAGAGCCAUUAUAUAUUAUUUUAAAAAAUCUGUUGGGCUCAGACAUGGCUAAUUAGUGGCAGGGCAGCUUUCCAGCUCUCUUACCACGACAAUGACCUUUCUCUGUGGGCCUCAAAUGACCCUUUGUUGUAAUACCUGUGUCUUUUGCCAAGACUGGCUUGAAUAAUUGCUUUGAUCCUCUCAAUCACUUCCUCAUGUGACAGCCUCAUGAGUCCACCCCUAUAUGACAAGUCAGACUGUGCAUGCUCCACUGGGCUUCAUGUUCAAAGUGGCCAAGAUCAUGCCUAGACCACCUCUAUCAGAGUGAAGACAGCUUUGCAUUUUGGAAACAAUAUCUACCCAGGAAGCAAAUAAUGAAACAUUCAAUUUUCAAGGCUCUCCCAAUGGUAAUGGAUCCUGUUGGGAAAGCCCUCUGGACAUGUGCAGGAGAGGGUCAUGUGUGAUGAAAUGAGAAAGGACACAGCCAAUGAGGAGACCACUUCUGAAACUACCUAGACACAAACCAGAUUCAGGGGCCAUACGUCUCUUCUUGAAGUCACGUUCCCAAGCUCUCUGGGCAAUUGGGAAGUACAUUGAAGAAGCAUCAGUCAAUUACUGCUAGCGAAAUGUUUUGUAUAAACAGCAACUUCAAAGCACAUGGAAAUCCCAUAGGCCCACAGCUUGUUUUUUUUCAAACACAAGGGCCUUGCAGCCAUUAGGCUGACCUGUGUUAUAAAUGGCUCAGGUCCCGGGGUGAGGCUGCCCUUCUAUCUGAGGUCCCUCUGAUUGCGGUUUUCACCUCCAGAGCUGGGUCCACACAGCACAAAGCCAGAUGGAAACUCGGCAACUGCACUGACUCGGUGAGAGAAUCCACUCAGGAAGAGGCCAGUGUGCAUCAUGCAGGCCCCUGCUUGCUUUCCAGGAGGAAUCUGCACAAAGAAACUAGAGAGCUCUCACAUGCGCCAGCAUUGCCUGGGAUGUUUUUCAUCAUGAGGGAUCUGGUCGGUCUACUUGCAAGGAUGUCACCUUCCAGCAGAGAGGAGCCAUACCGGGUGCUUCCUUAUGAUGGAAACCUGGUCUGGGUUGCUCACCACUGAACCUCCUCACACCUGGAGCCGUGCCUAGCACAAGGAGCUUACGUAUCCUCAGAAGAGAAGAAACAGAGACGAUUGCUGUCUUCAUUUUAGAGACAAAGAACCCGAGGCGUAGAGAGCCAGGAAAUGGAGGUAAUGACUUCUGCCCUGGAGGACUACAUGGCAUCUUCUAUGUUGAAACCACUUUCAAAGUUUUCAAAACUAUACACCCAUCAUGUAUCACUAAUAUAGCUCGAUAUACUACGGAUCACAGUCCUGACUUCAACUGUUAGUGUAAUGUCUCAUCAACACUGAGAACACGUUAUGUGGUGUUUUACUGUCAUGAACGAAACCUAUUUCCCCAGAAAAACUGGCAGAUAUUAGCAUUAAUCUGAUUUUUCAAAGAAGUUAAUUAUUUCCCAGAAUAAGUCACUGUGACUUAUCAAAGGGCCUUGGUUGGUGGGAAGUAAAGCCCAGACUGCAUUCUUGAAGCUGCUAGCCUUUGCCAGCUCAUUGCAAAUUGAGCAACACUGAUGAACCCACAGUUAAUCUAUGGAGUCAAAUGCAACUGGACACAAAUGCCUGGGGAUUUUCCCUGUGAGAUUCUCUUGCCCUUCUGGUGAUGGUGAAGGACAGCACUACCCAUGGCAGGGGCGGUCACUAGUCUCUGGCAUUUACUUGACCUUAUGGCUGCCAUGAACACCAGGCACAGCCUUUGCAGGAGGCACUGCUGCCUUCAGCCUGCCUGGCCUGGGGGCGCAGAGAGGAAAGGGAUAUGGGCUUUUGCAAAAGGCCCCUAGAGCAAAGUCAGACUGAUGGCAAAGGCUUGAGUGCUCGAUGGGCGAGGGAGAUGCUUUCGCUUCAAUUUUCACUGAGUAAUGAGGCGUACUGAGCAAAAUACACUUGUCCUUGGAAUGUGAGGCACACACGUGGCAGGCAUAAAGUUAUAAAAAGGAGGAGCUCCUUAGUCUGCUGAACUUAAAGACUUAUCUUGCCUUCCUGCUGUUAAUUCUUUACAGAGACUUCCUCUUCUCCAUUUCCCAGGGUUCUCCAUGGGGAUGUGCUUGAGGGAGAAUGAGCAGUUUAAGAGAAAAGAAUUCCUCCAGAGUGGGUUGUGGAGAGCACUGGAGAAGGUCUGGGCUGGAGCUAGAGAUUUACCUUGGCUAAAGAUAAGAGUCUGUGGUGUAUAUACACAAUGGAAUACCAUUCAGCCUUGAAAAAGAAGGAAAUAUGUCAUCAGU
Molecule: long non-coding RNA, 2302 nt
Filed under: Homo sapiens (human)
Lineage: Eukaryota; Metazoa; Chordata; Mammalia; Primates; Hominidae
Description: HSALNT0346639
Source: RNAcentral